UGUAGGUGUAACAGAAGUCUUAGUAUGUGGAUCUAGUGCAGGAGCUAUUGCAAAAACAAUAAUUUACCCUCUGGAUGUUAUUAAAAAGAGACUAGAAAUACAGGGUUUUGAGAAAGCCAGGAAAGGUUUUGGUGCCGUAAGACAUUAUAAUGGACUGUGGGACUGUAUGAUCACAAUAAUGAAAGAAGAGGGAAGCGUCAGAGGUCUUUAUAAAGGACUUUCACCAGGGCUGAUAAAAGGGGGGUUGGCAGCUGGUGCUAACUAUUUAGUUUAUGAUCAAGUGUGUUACUUGUUAAGAAAGUAUCAUUCUUCUUGACAAAUAGUUAGAAUAAUUUGAUUUUAGAUCUUGAUUUUUUUUCAGUAUUUUAGUAAUCUCAUUUUAUUGUAAAUCUCAUUUUCAUAGAAAAAAGAACAUAUUUUGUUUCAUAUUGCAUUGUUGUUGUUGUUGUU
Molecule: long non-coding RNA, 450 nt
Filed under: Mytilus galloprovincialis (Mediterranean mussel)
Lineage: Eukaryota; Metazoa; Mollusca; Bivalvia; Mytilida; Mytilidae
Source: RNAcentral